This 112-nucleotide ribosomal RNA is filed under the name Caerostris darwini. Lineage: Eukaryota; Metazoa; Arthropoda; Arachnida; Araneae; Araneidae. The record is from RNAcentral.
AACGGCCGUAUCAUGCUGAAUAUACCGGCUCUCGUUAGAUCACCGAAGUCAAGCAUCAUUGGGUCCGGUCAGUACUUGGGUGGGUGACCACCUGGGAACACCGCGUGCCGUU